UACGGAGGGUGCAAGCGUUAAUCGGAUUCAUUGGGCGUAAAGGGCACGUAGGCGGGGAAGUAAGUUAGAUGUGAAAGACCGGAGCUUAACUCCGGAACCGCAUUUAAAACUACUUCUCUAGAGGUUAGGUGGAGAAAAGGGAAUUCCACGUGUAGCGGUGAAAUGCGUAGAUAUGUGGAAGAACACCGGUGGCGAAGGCGCUUUUCUAACUUAUACCUGACGCUGAGGUGCGAAAGCGAGGGGAGCAAACAGG
This 253-nucleotide ribosomal RNA is filed under the name uncultured bacterium. RNAcentral describes it as "partial 16S ribosomal RNA". It matches the Rfam family "Bacterial small subunit ribosomal RNA", at positions 524 to 776 of the family's 1533-position model. The record is from RNAcentral.